GACCCUCAUAAAGGGAUGAGUGUCCUUAUAAGAGGAGGAAGAGUCAUUUCUAUCUCUGUCUCUCUGUCCUGUCUUCCUUCUGUCCCUCCACAGGAACACAGAGGAGAGUCCAUGUGAGAGGCAGUAAGAAGGCAACUGUCAGCAAUACAAGUUUUCCCCUUCCGCUGUCCUGGAGAGAGGAGGAGAAGGAAAAGGCAGGAGAGGAGGGAUGGAGCAGACCAUGACUCCCUUUCCCACUGCAGGACCCUGAGCUGGGGGAAGGGAGGAGCUUUGCGGUGAAGGUAAGAGUAAAGCUUUUCAUCUACCUAGAUCCGUGAUCACCUAACAGUGAAUCUCCUCUAAAAAUGAGCCAAAGCAUCAAGAAAACUAUAUGAAUCUGCCUAAGG
Molecule: long non-coding RNA, 386 nt
Filed under: Capra hircus (goat)
Lineage: Eukaryota; Metazoa; Chordata; Mammalia; Artiodactyla; Bovidae
Description: lncRNA (ENSCHIG00000003979.1)
Source: RNAcentral